RNAcentral lists this ribosomal RNA (468 nucleotides) under uncultured bacterium. Its description in RNAcentral is "partial 16S ribosomal RNA". It matches the Rfam family "Bacterial small subunit ribosomal RNA", at positions 28 to 507 of the family's 1533-position model. The record is from RNAcentral.
GACGAACGCUGGCGGCGCGCCUAACACAUGCCAGUCGAACGGAGCUGCGAGAAGCUUGCUUUUCUUAGCUUAGUGGCGAACGGGUGAGUAACGCGUGAGUAACCUGCCCUGGAGUGGGGGACAACAGUUGGAAACGACUGCUAAUACCGCAUAAGCCCACGAUCCGGCAUCGGAUUGAGGGAAAAGGAUUUAUUCGCUUCAGGAUGGACUCGCGUCCAAUUAGCUAGUUGGUAAGGUAACGGCCCACCAAGGCGACGAUUGGUAGCCGGACUGAGAGGUUGAACGGCCACAUUGGGACUGAGACACGGCGCAGACUCCUACGGGAGGCAGCAGUGGGGGAUAUUGCACAAUGGGGGAAACCCUGAUGCAGCGACGCCGCGUGGAGGAAGAAGGUUUUCAGAUUGUAAACUCCUGUCGUUAGGGACGAUAAUGACGGUACCUAACAAGAAAGCACCGGCUAACUACGUG